RNAcentral lists this ribosomal RNA (253 nucleotides) under uncultured bacterium. RNAcentral's name for it is "partial 16S ribosomal RNA". It matches the Rfam family "Bacterial small subunit ribosomal RNA", at positions 524 to 776 of the family's 1533-position model. The record is from RNAcentral.
UACGUAGGGGCCAAGCGUUGUUCGGAUUUACUGGGCGUAAAGGGCGCGUAGGCGGCAAUUCAAGUCAGCUGUGAAAUCUCCGGGCUUAACUCGGAACGGUCAGCUGAUACUGUUUUGCUAGAGUGCAGAAGGGGCAAUCGGAAUUCUCGGUGUAGCGGUGAAAUGCGUAGAUAUCGAGAGGAACACCUGAGGUGAAGACGGGUUGCUGGGCUGACACUGACGCUGAUGCGCGAAAGCCAGGGUAGCAAACGGG